This 460-nucleotide ribosomal RNA is filed under the name uncultured bacterium. RNAcentral's name for it is "partial 16S ribosomal RNA". It matches the Rfam family "Bacterial small subunit ribosomal RNA", at positions 338 to 795 of the family's 1533-position model. The record is from RNAcentral.
CCUACGGGUGGCAGCAGUGAGGAAUAUUGGUCAAUGGGCGCGAGACUGAACCAGCCAAGUAGCGUGAAGGAUGACUGCCCUAUGGGUUGUAAACUUCUUUUAUAAAGGAAUAAAGUGAGGCACGUGUGCCUUUUUGUAUGUACUUUAUGAAUAAGGAUCGGCUAACUCCGUGCCAGCAGCCGCGGUAAUACGGAGGAUACGAGCGUUAUCCGGAUUUAUUGGGUUUAAAGGUAGCGUAGAUGGGUUGUUAAGUCAGUUGUGAAAGUUUGCGGCUCAACCGUAAAAUUGCAAUUGAUACUGGCAGUCUUGAGUACAGUUGAGGUAGGCGGAAUUCGUGGUGUAGCGGUGAAAUGCUUAGAUAUCACGAAGAACCCCGAUUGCGAAGGCAGCUUACUAAACUGCCACUGACAUUGAUGCUCGAAAGUGUGGGUAUCAAACAGGAUUAGAUACCCUUGUAGUC